GAUGAACGCUAGCUACAGGCUUAACACAUGCAAGUCGAGGGGCAGUCAUGGUCUUUAGCUUGCUAAGGCCGAUGGCGACCGGCGCACGGGGUGAGUAACACGUAUCCAACCUGCCGUCUACUCGUUGGACAGCCUUCUGAAAGGAGAUUAAUACAAGAUGGCAUCAUGAGUCCGCAGUAGUUCACAUGAUUAAAGGUAUUCCGGUAGACGAUGGGGAUGCGUUUCCAGUUAGAUAGUAGGCGGGGUAACGGCCACCUAGUCUUCGAUGGAUAGGGGUUCU
Molecule: ribosomal RNA, 280 nt
Filed under: uncultured bacterium
Lineage: Bacteria
Description: partial 16S ribosomal RNA
Rfam family: Bacterial small subunit ribosomal RNA
Source: RNAcentral